AACGAACGCUGGCGGCAUGCCUAACACAUGCAAGUCGAACGAACCCUUCGGGUUAGUGGCGCACGGGUGCGUAACGCGUGGGAACCUGCCUUUAGGUUCGGAAUAACUCAGAGAAUUUGAGCUAAUACCGGAUAAUGUCUUCGGACCAAAGAUUUAUCGCCUUUAGAUGGGCCCGCGUUGGAUUAGCUAGUUGGUGGGGUAAAGGCCUACCAAGGCGACGAUCCAUAGCUGGUCUGAGAGGAUGAUCAGCCACACUGGGACUGAGACACGGCCCAGACUCCUACGGGAGGCAGCAGUGGGGAAUAUUGGACAAUGGGCGAAAGCCUGAUCCAGCAAUGCCGCGUGAGUGAUGAAGGCCUUAGGGUUGUAAAAGCUCUUUUACCAGGGAUGAUAAUGACAGUACCUGGAGAAUAAGCUCCGGCUAACUCGUGCCAGCAGCCGCGGUAAUACGGAGGAGCUAGCGUUGUUCGGAAUUACUGGGCGUAAAGCGCACGUAGGCGGCGAAGCAAGUCA
RNAcentral lists this ribosomal RNA (513 nucleotides) under uncultured bacterium. Its description in RNAcentral is "bacterial SSU rRNA". It matches the Rfam family "Bacterial small subunit ribosomal RNA", at positions 28 to 590 of the family's 1533-position model. The record is from RNAcentral.